Molecule: ribosomal RNA, 520 nt
Filed under: uncultured Entrophospora
Lineage: Eukaryota; Fungi; Glomeromycota; Glomeromycetes; Entrophosporales; Entrophosporaceae
Description: SSU rRNA
Rfam family: Eukaryotic small subunit ribosomal RNA
Source: RNAcentral
AGCAGCCGCGGUAAUUCCAGCUCCAAUAGCGUAUAUUAAAGCUGUUGCAGUUAAAAAGCUCGUAGUUGAAUUUCGGGAUUGACACAUCGGUCGUGCCUUAAGGGGUAUGAACUGGUGUAGUCAAUUUCUCACCUUCUGGAGAACCGCAAUGCCCUUAAUUGGGUGUCGCGGGGAACCAGGACCUUUACUUUGAAAAAAACUUNGAGUGUUUAAAGCAGGCAUUUUGCUUGAAUACAUUAGCAUGGAAUAAUAAAAUAGGACGGCAUGAUUCUAUUUUGUUGGUUUCUAGGAUCACCGUAAUGAUUAAUAGGGAAUAGUUGGGGGCAUUAGUAUUCAAUUGUCAGAGGUGAAAUUCUUGGAUUUAUUGAAGACUAACUACUGCGAAAGCAUUUGCCAAGGAUGUUUUCAUUAAUCAAGAACGAAAGUUAGGGGAUCGAAGACGAUCAGAUACCGUCGUAGUCUUAACCAUAAACUAUGCCGACUAGGAAUCAGACGAUGUAAUUUUUUUCAAUGACUCGUU